Molecule: ribosomal RNA, 364 nt
Filed under: Streptococcus sp. oral taxon C08
Lineage: Bacteria; Bacillati; Bacillota; Bacilli; Lactobacillales; Streptococcaceae
Description: bacterial SSU rRNA
Rfam family: Bacterial small subunit ribosomal RNA
Source: RNAcentral
GAUGAGUUGCGAACGGGUGAGUAACGCGUAGGUAACCUGCCUGGUAGCGGGGGAUAACUAUUGGAAACGAUAGCUAAUACCGCAUAAGAGUAGAUGUUGCAUGACAUUCGCUUAAAAGGUGCAAUUGCAUCACUACCAGAUGGACCUGCGUUGUAUUAGCUAGUUGGUGAGGUAACGGCUCACCAAGGCAACGAUACAUAGCCGACCUGAGAGGGUGAUCGGCCACACUGGGACUGAGACACGGCCCAGACUCCUACGGGAGGCAGCAGUAGGGAAUCUUCGGCAAUGGACGGAAGUCUGACCCGAGCAAACGCCGCGUGAGUGAAAGAAAGGUUUUUCGGGAUUCGUAAAAGCUUCUGUUGUA